AUUUGGACUUGGUGAAAUUUCGAGUUAUUAUUUCGUCUAUUCGAUGCAGUGACACAUGCAAAUGACCGUGCAUUGUGAUUAAUAGCUCGCUCGACACAUUUUUAUCAUUUCGAGUAAUUUCAUUGCAAAUCAGCCGUCAUUACCAAAAGAGACAAGGCGCCAAACAUUCUAGAAAACAUAAAAGAUAACAACAUUGGUUUUAUCAACUCGCGUUUAAAAUGCUAUCCCCUUUAGAUUGCUUGGCGCUCCUCCCAAAAAUAUAACUAAACACACGAUAAGUCGAUCGUUCGGUCUUGUUCAAAACAACGGAGCGAAAAGUUCAUGGCCAAUUUUUACACAAUUUGUUGGCCGAUGUACUUUCGGGAGCAAACACUUAACCUGAAGUGCUUUCUUUUUCUCAGUUGUCGCUCGAUAGCUGCUCAACAUCAGUUGCCAUCAAAAACGUGUCACUUCUUAGUUAAGGAAACAAUUGUUCGCUUCAUCUCUUCAGUACAAUUGACUAAACUCUUCAAUUAAUGGCAAUUUAAAGCAAGGGUAGCCUUAAUCCUGAAAACUUCGAGCGACCCAUUACAAGGUUCCAUGUCGCAAGAAAGCUGUCAGCUAUAUAUCAUUUAUUUUACAAUAAGCUAUCGCGAUACAUAAAUUUCAGUUGAGUCUAAGCCGUAGAAAAGUGACGACUUGCCUCGAGGGCUUGUUUUGACAAGCAUUGUUGAAAACCUUUCAAGAUAUUAAUAUUUUAAAAGAUGGUGAUUUGUAAAGUGGUGAAACUUGGUAGCCCGUUCAGCUGCUUUACUCACGCAAUCGGAGAAAGAAAGCGAGUCCAAGGGAGAAGAGAAUUUCGAGGCUGAAGAAAAGUUUUCCACAGUUUCAAGACUUAAGCAUGCUGACAGAUUGUGCACUGACGAAUCCCCAAGAAAACACAGCUUGAUGGGAGGCUUCAAAAUCGUCGGGUAUUGUUGCCUAUAAACUCCAAAAUCCUGGACAGGGGCCUUCUGGAUAAAAAAAAAAUGUCAUAAACCUGCCUGAUAAAAAGGCAUAUCUGGCACUCUCUCGAGACGUUUCCCGAGGUUGUUGUUGUAGUCAUGUUUCAUCCCAAGGCUAUCGCGGCCAGGUGUAAAGAGCUCUGGGUCGAGAAUGAAGUAUUUGUAAGCAGUGUUGUUUGCGUCAAUCUCUGUAAAAUGAUAAUGAUACUAACAACAAGGACAAUAAUAAAACCAGCAGCAACA
Long non-coding RNA from Pocillopora damicornis (cauliflower coral), 1226 nucleotides. The record is from RefSeq and is a predicted model, not a curated record. Lineage: Eukaryota; Metazoa; Cnidaria; Anthozoa; Scleractinia; Pocilloporidae.